GAAAGCCUGAUGCAGCAACGCCGCGUGAGUGAUGAAGGCUUUCGAGUCGUAAAGCUCUUUGAUCAGGGAUGAUAAUGACAGUACCUGAAAAACAAGCCACGGCUAACUACGUGCCAGCAGCCGCGGUAAUACGUAGGUGGCGAGCGUUGUCCGGAAUUACUGGGCGUAAAGGAUGCGUAGGUGGAUAUUUAAGUGGGAUGUGAAAUCCCCGGGCUCAACCCGGGAACUGCAUUCCAAACUGGAUAUCUAGAGUGCAGGAGAGGAAAGCGGAAUUCCUAGUGUAGCGGUGAAAUGCGUAGAUAUUAGGAGGAACACCAAUGGCGAAGGCGGCUUUCUGGACUGUAACUGACACUGAGGCAUGAAAGCGUGGGUAGCAAACAGGAUUAGAUACCCUGGUAGUCC
Molecule: ribosomal RNA, 402 nt
Filed under: uncultured bacterium
Lineage: Bacteria
Description: bacterial SSU rRNA
Rfam family: Bacterial small subunit ribosomal RNA
Source: RNAcentral